CCUACGGGUGGCAGCAGUGAGGAAUAUUGGUCAAUGGACGAGAGUCUGAACCAGCCAAGUAGCGUGAAGGAUGACUGCCCUACGGGUUGUAAACUUCUUUUAUAUGGGAAUAAAAUGUUCCACGUGUGGGUUUUUGUAUGUACCAUAUGAAUAAGGAUCGGCUAACUCCGUGCCAGCAGCCGCAGUAAUACGGAGGAUCCGAGCGUUAUCCGGAUUUAUUGGGUUUAAAGGGAGCGUAGGUGGAUUGUUAAGUCAGUUGUGAAAGUUUGCGGCUCAACCGUAAAAUUGCAGUUGAGACUGGCAGUCUUGAGUACAGUAGAGGUGGGCGGAAUUCGUGGUGUAGCGGUGAAAUGCUUAGAUAUCACGAAGAACUCCGAUUGCGAAGGCAGCUCACUGGACUGCAACUGACACUGAGGCUCGAAAGUGUGGGUAUCAAACAGGAUUAGAUACCCCAGUAGUC
Molecule: ribosomal RNA, 460 nt
Filed under: uncultured bacterium
Lineage: Bacteria
Description: partial 16S ribosomal RNA
Rfam family: Bacterial small subunit ribosomal RNA
Source: RNAcentral